RNAcentral lists this ribosomal RNA (253 nucleotides) under uncultured bacterium. RNAcentral describes it as "partial 16S ribosomal RNA". It matches the Rfam family "Bacterial small subunit ribosomal RNA", at positions 524 to 776 of the family's 1533-position model. The record is from RNAcentral.
UACGGAGGGUGCAAGCGUUAUCCGGAUUCACUGGGUUUAAAGGGUGCGUAGGCGGGCAGGUAAGUCAGUGGUGAAAUCUCCAAGCUUAACUUGGAAACUGCCAUUGAUACUAUUUGUCUUGAAUACUGUGGAGGUCAGCGGAAUAUGUCAUGUAGCGGUGAAAUGCUUAGAUAUGACAUAGAACACCAAUUGCGAAGGCAGCUGGCUACACAAAUAUUGACACUGAGGCACGAAAGCGUGGGGAUCAAACAGG